GCUCCAAUAGCGUAUAUUAAAGUUGUUGCAGUUAAAAAGCUCGUAGUUGGAUUUGUGGCUGUCGCUAGCGGCCAUCACCUAGUGUUGGUGUUUGCUGGCGUCGCCAUCCUUGGGUGGAGCCUGUGUGGCAUUAGGUUGUCGUGCAGGGGAUGCCAUCGUUUACUGUGAGAAAAUUAGAGUGUUCAAAGCAGGCUUAUGCC
Molecule: ribosomal RNA, 200 nt
Filed under: uncultured eukaryote
Lineage: Eukaryota
Description: partial 18S ribosomal RNA
Rfam family: Eukaryotic small subunit ribosomal RNA
Source: RNAcentral